UGGAGUGCAGGUUUCUUUGUGGGUUUUAAAUCCCUACAAUUUUUUUCCCUAAGUAAUUACUAAGAUUUCCGAACAUUUUCCACUUUUCCCUACAGUUUUUUUUUUUUUUUUUUUACACAUGUUCUGAUCUGUCUGGUUUUCCUCAGCUGAAAUCCACCACAUUUUCUGCUGAAACCUUAGUAAAUAUGUUGGGUUUUUGUUAAAAUGUCGGGGACACGCCCCUUUUGUGUGAUCACGCCCCCGUUCCCAUACCGGUCACACCCCCUUUUCAGGUUUUCCCAGUAAAAUGGAGAGUUGGUCGUUUUUUUUUUUCAUUUCUGGCGCAAUGAGACAGAAUCUGUUGCACAACCCAACAAAACAUGUCAGGUUUACAAUAGUAAAUCAGGGCCAUUGUCAUGUUCAAGAAACCAGAUUGAGAAGAUGUGAGCUUUGUCCUUCUGGAAGUAACCAUCAGAAGAUGUACACACUGUGGUCAUGGUCAGCAGAAAUACUCAGAACACAUGAAUGCUCAGCAGAGACAAACAUUUAUGAAAAUGGACAGCCAUCAGUUGAGAAAACAUUUUAUUGACAGCUAUACCAUGUUUACAGGCACAGGAAUAUUCGAUAAAGGUCAAUCUAGAGAGCAUCAGAUGCAGCUACCAUCUGCAGAUCUGCCCAGAAAUACCCAGCUGCCAUCUUCACUAUAUUCAUCUCUAUCCUGUGCACAACUGAGAAGUGGCCAUCUUUUCAGCAACAUAAAUUUCCUUCCAUUCUGAACAGAACAUAAGAAUUACUAGGACCUCUGUAUUCUUCCCAUACAACAGG
Molecule: long non-coding RNA, 804 nt
Organism: Hyla sarda
Lineage: Eukaryota; Metazoa; Chordata; Amphibia; Anura; Hylidae
Exons: 3
Source: RefSeq, a predicted model, not a curated record